AGGUUGAAGUGAAGGCCAGAGUAAACGGAUUUGGCCUUACUGGGUGCCUGAUCACUAGGACAGUUUUAACUGUAGCAAAGUGGUUAUUGUCACCAUCAGUGACCUCUUCAUUGACCUCAAUUACAUGGUCCACAUGUUCCAGUAUGAUUCCACCCAUGGCAAGUUCCACGCACCAUCAAGGCUGAGAAUGGGAAGCUUGUCAUCAAUGGCAAUCCCAUUACCAUCUUCCAGGAGCAAGAUCCCAUCCAAAUCAAACAAGGGGAUGCCAGUGCUGAUUAUCUUGUGGAAUCCACCAGCAUCAUCACUACCUUGGAAAAGACUAGGGCUCACUUAAAGGGGACAUGAUUUCUCCCCCUUCUGCUGAUGCCCCCAUGUUUGUGAUGGGUGUGAAUCAUGAGAAAAACAAAAACAACUUCACAAUCAUCAACAAUGCUUUCUGUUCCACCAACUGCUUAGCACCCCCAGCCAAGGUCAUCCAUGACAACUUUGGCAUCAUGGAGGGAUUCAUGACCACAGUCCAUGCCAUCACUGCCACCCAGAAGACGAAGACAACCCCUCUCGGAAACUGGGAUGACAGCUAUGGAGCUCCACAGACAUCACCCCUGCAAUUAACUAGUGUUGCCAAGGCAAAGUCAUCCCCACACUGAAUGAGAACCUCACUGGCAUGGCCUUCUGUGUCCCCACUGCCAACAUGUUGGUUGUGGACCUGACCUGCCAUCUAAAGAAACCUGCCAAAUAUGGUAACACCAAGAAGGUAAUGAAGGAGGCACGGAAGGGCCCCUCAAGAGCAUCGUGGUGCUACACUGAGCACCAAGUUGUCUCCUCCAACUAUAACAGUGACAUCGACCUUCCACUUUCGACGUUGGGGCUGGCAUUGUCCUCAGCGAUAACUCUGUCAAGCUCAUAUUCUGAUAUGACAAUGAAUUUGGCUACAGCAACAGGGUGGUAGACUUUAUGGUACACAUGGCCUCCAAGGAGUAA
RNAcentral lists this long non-coding RNA (981 nucleotides) under Homo sapiens (human). RNAcentral's name for it is "non-protein coding lnc-KHDRBS2-14:1". Lineage: Eukaryota; Metazoa; Chordata; Mammalia; Primates; Hominidae. The record is from RNAcentral.